UACUCAAGUACAAUGAGAGUGGAUCAAGGAAGUUUCUGAAAUGCGUAACUGAUGUAAAAAGCAAGCUAUAAUCAAAUAAAAUCCACUGAAUGUAAAGUCCUGUAAUUAGAAAAUAUUCCAAUCACAACGGUAUGUUUCAUUUUUUUCUAUUGGUAAACUUCCUCAGCAUGAAUAUAUUACCCCCUCAAGACCCAAUCCUAUGCUCACUAAAUAACCCUCUGGUUACAAUCUAUCCCACGGAGGAAUACUAUGUCUCAAAAAGGUGUAAUAAUCCCUAUUGGAAAUCCUAGCUGGGAAAAAAUAUCUUUUCUACCCUCCCACAACCAUCCAAGUGCUAGCUGCUCGACCACCACAUAC
Molecule: long non-coding RNA, 357 nt
Filed under: Bos taurus (domestic cattle)
Lineage: Eukaryota; Metazoa; Chordata; Mammalia; Artiodactyla; Bovidae
Description: long non-coding RNA NONBTAT006001
Source: RNAcentral